Long non-coding RNA from Anneissia japonica, 212 nucleotides. RefSeq lists it as uncharacterized. The transcript is spliced from 2 exons. The record is from RefSeq and is a predicted model, not a curated record. Lineage: Eukaryota; Metazoa; Echinodermata; Crinoidea; Comatulida; Comatulidae.
GAAGUUUGCUGAUAGAGAGGAUAUUGUUAUUGCUAAAAUGGAUUCCACAACAAAUGAGCUAGAAGAAGUACAAAUUAGAAGCUUCCCUACCCUCAAAUAUUUUGUUAAAGAAACUAAUGAAGUUAUUGAUUAUAAUGGUGAGAGAACUCUGGAGGGAUUAACUAAAUUUUUGGAAAGUGAUGGAAAAGAUGGUGCCGGCCCAUCAGACGAGG